GGUUUGCGUGAAGGAUCGCAGCGGAAAUCCUCCCGUUUUUUUCGGGAGAUUGCAGCGUAGAGCCUGACCCUUG
This 73-nucleotide small RNA is filed under the name Flavobacterium crassostreae. Its description in RNAcentral is "Flavo-1 RNA". It matches the Rfam family "Flavo-1 RNA". The record is from Rfam by way of RNAcentral. Lineage: Bacteria; Pseudomonadati; Bacteroidota; Flavobacteriia; Flavobacteriales; Flavobacteriaceae.